GUUGAUGUGCUGGUUGGAUUUCAUACAGUUUCUCUUCUGAUCCUGGAAACCCCAUAUCAGUUAUUGGCCUGGUUACUUGAAGACAUUACUUUUUUUACAGAAAGCUUUUGAACUUUGUUUUGUUUUGUAAUAGUACUGUUAGGCUUAGGUACUGUUAGGCUUAGGUACUGUUUGGCAAAGCAAUAAUAACUGGUGGUUGUUUGGUGUACCAAGACACUAUUGUAUUCUCUUUGGUUGUCCAAAUGCUUUUACGUACUAAUCUUUCUUGGUGUCACUGUCAACUAGGAAUGGAAUGUGCACAUGCUACUGUUGCCACAAAUGCUUCGUUCUUCGCCUUUACUCGUUGAGCCAAUCUGGUCCUUCAAUCAAGUUCAGUGGUGCAUGCUUUCACCAAGCAACAUUCUCUCAUAUGUAUCUUACGUUUUGUGGGUCACGUAAUUAGGUUGGGACUGCUCAUCUUUCAUUUUCAUCUAUCUGUAUACUGCUCCUACGUGCAUUAUCAUGAACUGUAGAUUAUACAAUAGUCCGAAAGCGACCUGAGAAUAACACCAACGUGAGGGUCUUCCUCUUCUGGAAAGUUGCCAGCUAGAGUCUCUUUUGUUGUUUUCUGUUCCCAUUAAUUGUGUGCCUCAUUAAGCUUAAAUACUUUUGCAAUGAUUUAUCUAGGGCUCAAUGAUAUAUGUAUACCAGCUAAUUCAUUUUCCAUGUAACAGAUCGCAUCUUGUAACAGCAAAUUUUGGUAUAGCUGUCAGUUGAAUUUGUCAAGCAAGAACUUGUCUCUAUCUUUUAGUUUAUAUGUUACAUCUCUAACUAUAACUUUCCAGCAAACUGUUUCUUUUAGCUACUAUAAAUGCAAUUAAUAUAUGUCAUGUUUGUUUUAACUUUCUCUGAUGGGUGUGGUUCUACUGUGUUGACAACGUGCGAAAGAAAUGACAACAGAAGAAUCAUGUGAAGCUCUUGAACGUAGCAGGACUUUUUCUGUUAGCAAGCAUAGCUCUGCUGUUAGCUACUUGAGCCACACAUCAUAGAAACAAUAUUGGUAAUCUUAGAAACUCCUGUUUAUGGUUGAUGUGUUGAAGAUGAAGAUAUGUAUGUGAAGAACAUGGUACAUAUGGUAUAACAUUAACAGGGUUGAACGGAGAACCGUGCAGAUAACUUAUUUGGGAUAGCAUCUACAAAAAAAAAAAACAUAUUCCGGCAAAUGAAAACAAAGCAACUACCUACACACAUGGCUUAUUAAAGGCAAACAACAGGAUUGGUUGGCGUUUUUCAAUGUAGACUUGCUUAGAACCAUUCUUCCUAGCUGCAUGUUUGUUGAUGUUGUUUGGAAGGUGAUUGCUAGGCCCUGAAGAUGCAUCAGAGGUCAUCGAAUCAUCACUCUCUUUACCACCAUCAUCAUUCUCAUAACCAUCAUCGGCAUAUUUUACAUGUGACUCAUCAUCAUCAUUAUCAUCAACAACAACAGUAGAAUGGUCAUUUCCUUGAAUGGCGUCUCCUAUGUACAUAGUCCACCCUGACUCACAACUGCUGUAUUCCUCCUCCUCGGAGCCUACAUGGUUCCUAGGGGACUCCAUGGCUUUGAUCAACGUAAAGAAGAGAACAAACCAAGGUUUCAAUGUUAGCAUAUAUGGACACACACACAAAAGAUAACUAGAUUUGUCUAGUUACAUACCUUGUUUAUUUCAAUCCACUUCACCACUUUACUCUCUGAUUUAGGCUGUGUCUCGGUCUCUCUUUGGUUUUGCUCUUCCAUCAUCAAUAAAUAGAAUUUUUUUUCCAAGUAUCAAGAAAAGCCGGAGCCUAUUAGAAGCCUCAUAUAAUUGAAGAGAAGGAGUAAGUUUCACCCACAUGGCAACCCCUAGCACCAUUGUUUUCACUCAAUUGAAGCACUACCAGACAAAGCCAUUGCAGAUAUAUGUCAACCAAGGAAGGUUAGUGCCUUCUUCAAUAUAAAGUAGUCUCUCAUAUAGAAUUAAAAGCCUAUCCUCAUCUUUUUCUAUAAUAAUAUUUAUAUUUAUCUAAACUUUUCCUUAAACAAAUAUAUUGGUUACUAACAACCUGUAAUCUAGUCUAGAGUCAGGACACAUCAAUAUCCACAAAAUAAGAAUCAUCCUUCUGAGCUCUGUCAUUAGUGAGCUCAUAAGUUGAACUUAUCAUGUGCUCUUCUUAAUUGAUAAUAUUCAUAUGACUCGAGUAAGUUUUAACUUCUCUGUACUCUUUCUUAUCUCUUAUGUAUCACAUGCUAUCUUAAAUAGUAUUAAAGAUCAGCUUUCGAGGUGGAAAGCAGAAGAGACCCACCUCAACAGCAAGAAGGACUAAAAGAAGGCAUUUACUUAAGUAGGUUAAGAGCUGUUUCUCUUCUUCAUUCCUUUAAUACUCUUCUUCCUCCUCCAAUCCUCUUACUAUCUUUAAAAUCGUUGCAGCCUUUUCUUGCUGUCUCAAUGAAUUGAAUGAAAGGUGAAACCCAACUGGAUUUUAGUUGUCAUUUUAUUUUCCUCUUAAGAUAAGGACAGAACUAAAAGGAGUAUAACAACUGUCACAUAAAAUACUUACUGAGUCCAUACUUAUCGAGUCCAUAUUACAAAGGGGUUGCUUGAAUAUAAAUUGCCUUCAUUACGUUCCCUGUUUCUCUGGCGUCAUCACCUUAAAAUGUUCUUCAAUGGAGGCCAUCUUGAUGACAGCUAGCAAAUUCAAGUGUGUGAUGAGAUAGUCCAUAAUACAAAAGGGUUGUUUUGUUUUGACUUUGAUUAAUUUUUAAGUAAAGCUAAAGAAAGUUAUUUAGCUUUGGGCUUAAAACAGUUUGCUUUCUUUAAGAAACAAUUCUAAAAGGGGUGGUACUACAGUGGGUCUAACGAACUUGGAGAGAUGUGUGUCUUAGGAUUUGUUACAGUUUGUACUAUUCGGUAAUGUCUGAAAAACAGGGUUGGACUCAUUGGAUUUUCUCAUGUGGGUCUCUUUCUAUCAAUCCUACGUGUGUGACUGUGGAAUGUCAUUUCGGUGUGAAAAAGGACGGGACACUCUGUGGAUUGGCUCUUUAGUGCAUGUUGGACUAGUUGUUGGUGUUAUAUCUCUAAAUCAAUUGAUAACAAGUGGUGAGUUUAGAUCAAAAAUUCAUUUUCUUGUUGGUAACUUAAUCACUAGAAGAAACAGAAUGAAUUAGCAAAAAACUUUUGAUAGAUUGGCUGAGUAAAAUCAUUUAUCUUGUUGUUUUGUGAAAUGCUAUGAAAAAGGGCAUGUGUCAUUUAGCACCAAAAUCUUGAUUUGUCUGUCCCCUAUUCAUCACUCACAAAAUGUGUAUUAAAUUUUAUGAUCAUUCCAGCUGCUUCACAAUCUAUAUACCAUGUUCAAGACCGGUCCAUAAGACAAACCAUUCAAGCAAUCGAUUAUGGCAUAUAUUUUAAGGGGGCAUACUUUUAUUUUAUUGUUUCACAUUAAAAUUUUGUUAAUAUUUAUAUGUAAAUAUAAUUUAUAGUUAUGUUGAAAAUAGUAAUAUUUAUAAGAACUGUUAGGAUUGAUUAUAAUUUUUUUUGCUAAUACAUAUAAUGAUUAAUUGUAUUAUUAAAUAAGAAUUAAUUUUGGA
Brassica rapa (field mustard) is the source of this 3580-nucleotide RNA transcript. RefSeq lists it as uncharacterized. The record is from RefSeq and is a predicted model, not a curated record. Lineage: Eukaryota; Viridiplantae; Streptophyta; Magnoliopsida; Brassicales; Brassicaceae.